UCCUUUGUAGCUCAGUUGGUAGAGCAUGGCACUUGUAAUGCCAGGGUAAUGGAC
RNAcentral lists this transfer RNA (54 nucleotides) under Oncorhynchus kisutch (coho salmon). It matches the Rfam family "tRNA", at positions 1 to 53 of the family's 71-position model. From Rfam's summary of the family: Transfer RNA (tRNA) molecules are approximately 80 nucleotides in length. Their secondary structure includes four short double-helical elements and three loops (D, anti-codon, and T loops). Further hydrogen bonds mediate the characteristic L-shaped molecular structure. tRNAs have two regions of fundamental functional importance: the anti-codon, which is responsible for specific mRNA codon recognition, and the 3' end, to which the tRNAs corresponding amino acid is attached (by aminoacyl-tRNA synthetases). tRNAs cope with the degeneracy of the genetic code in two manners: having more than one tRNA (with a specific anti-codon) for a particular amino acid; and 'wobble' base-pairing, i.e. permitting non-standard base-pairing at the 3rd anti-codon position. Lineage: Eukaryota; Metazoa; Chordata; Actinopteri; Salmoniformes; Salmonidae. The record is from Rfam by way of RNAcentral. RNAcentral also lists the same sequence under 4 other names.